RNAcentral lists this ribosomal RNA (586 nucleotides) under Pseudomonas sp. StFRB113. RNAcentral describes it as "bacterial SSU rRNA". It matches the Rfam family "Bacterial small subunit ribosomal RNA", at positions 102 to 683 of the family's 1533-position model. Lineage: Bacteria; Pseudomonadati; Pseudomonadota; Gammaproteobacteria; Pseudomonadales; Pseudomonadaceae. The record is from RNAcentral.
ACGGGUGAGUAAUGCCUAGGAAUCUGCCUGGUAGUGGGGGACAACGUUUCGAAAGGAACGCUAAUACCGCAUACGUCCUACGGGAGAAAGCAGGGGACCUUCGGGCCUUGCGCUAUCAGAUGAGCCUAGGUCGGAUUAGCUAGUUGGUGAGGUAAUGGCUCACCAAGGCGACGAUCCGUAACUGGUCUGAGAGGAUGAUCAGUCACACUGGAACUGAGACACGGUCCAGACUCCUACGGGAGGCAGCAGUGGGGAAUAUUGGACAAUGGGCGAAAGCCUGAUCCAGCCAUGCCGCGUGUGUGAAGAAGGUCUUCGGAUUGUAAAGCACUUUAAGUUGGGAGGAAGGGUUGUAGAUUAAUACUCUGCAAUUUUGACGUUACCGACAGAAUAAGCACCGGCUAACUCUGUGCCAGCAGCCGCGGUAAUACAGAGGGUGCAAGCGUUAAUCGGAAUUACUGGGCGUAAAGCGCGCGUAGGUGGUUCGUUAAGUUGGAUGUGAAAUCCCCGGGCUCAACCUGGGAACUGCAUCCAAAACUGGCGAGCUAGAGUAUGGUAGAGGGUGGUGGAAUUUCCCUGUGUAGCGGUG